UGAUGCAGCGACGCCGCGUGAGGGAUGACGGCCUUCGGGUUGUAAACCUCUUUCAGCAGGGAAGAAGCGAAAGUGACGGUACCUGCAGAAGAAGCGCCGGCUAACUACGUGCCAGCAGCCGCGGUAAUACGUAGGGCGCAAGCGUUGUCCGGAAUUAUUGGGCGUAAAGAGCUCGUAGGCGGCUUGUCACGUCGGGUGUGAAAGCCCGGGGCUUAACCCCGGGUCUGCAUUCGAUACGGGCUAGCUAGAGUGUGGUAGGGGAGAUCGGAAUUCCUGGUGUAGCGGUGAAAUGCGCAKAUAUCARGAGGAACACCGGUGGCGAAGGCGGAUCUCUGGGCCAUUACUGACGCUGAGGAGCGAARGCGUGGGGAGCGAACAGGAUUASAURCCCUGGUAGUCCACGCCGUAWACGGKGGGAACUAGGUGUUGGCGACWUUCCACGUCGUCGGUGCCGCAKCUAACGCAUUAAGUUCCCCGCCUGGGGAGUACGGCCGCAAGGCUAAAACUCWRAGGAAUUGACGGGGGCCCGCACAAGCAGCGGAGCAUGUGGCUUAMUUCGACGCAACGCGWASAACCUUACCAAGGCUUGACAUACACCGGAAAGCAUCAGAGAUGGUGCCCCCCUUGUGGUCGGUGUACAGGUGGUGCAUGGCUGUCGUCAGCUCGUGUCGUGAGAUGUUGGGUUAAGUCCCGCAACGAGCGCAACCCUUGUUCUGUGUUGCCAGCAUGCCCUUCGGGGUGAUGGGGACUCACAGGAGACCGCCGGGGUCAACUCGGAGGAAGGUGGGGACGACGUCGAGUCAUCAUGCCCCUUAUGUCUUGGGCUGCACACGUGCUACAAUGGCCGGUACAAAGAGCUGCGAUACCGUGAGGUGGAGCGAAUCUCAAAAAGCCGGUCUCAGUUCGGAUUGGGGUCUGCAACUCGACCCCAUGAAGUCGGAGUUGCUAGUAAUCGCA
This 957-nucleotide ribosomal RNA is filed under the name Streptomyces sp. RNAcentral describes it as "bacterial SSU rRNA". It matches the Rfam family "Bacterial small subunit ribosomal RNA", at positions 384 to 1346 of the family's 1533-position model. The record is from RNAcentral. Lineage: Bacteria; Bacillati; Actinomycetota; Actinomycetes; Kitasatosporales; Streptomycetaceae.